This 400-nucleotide ribosomal RNA is filed under the name uncultured bacterium. Its description in RNAcentral is "bacterial SSU rRNA". It matches the Rfam family "Bacterial small subunit ribosomal RNA", at positions 359 to 776 of the family's 1533-position model. The record is from RNAcentral.
GAAUAUUGGACAAUGGGCGAAAGCCUGAUCCAGCCAUGCCGCGUGAGUGACGAAGGCCUUAGGGUUGUAAAGCUCUUUCAGGUGCGAAGAUAAUGACGGUAACACCAGAAGAAGCCCCGGCUAAAUUCGUGCCAGCAGCCGCGGUAAUACGAAUGGGGCGAGCGUUGUUCGGAAUCACUGGGCGUAAAGAGUACGUAGGCGGACUAGCAAGUCAGAAGUGAAAUCCCGGGGCUUAACCUCGGAAUGGCUUUUGAAACUGCUAGUCUAGAGUCCCGGAGAGGUCAGCGGAAUUCCGAGUGUAGAGGUGAAAUUCGCAGAUAUUCGGAGGAACACCAGUGGCGUAGGCGGCUGGCUGGACGGGAACUGACGCUGAGGUACGAAAGCGUGGGGAUCAAACAGG